Lontra canadensis (Northern American river otter) is the source of this 1012-nucleotide long non-coding RNA. RefSeq lists it as uncharacterized. The record is from RefSeq and is a predicted model, not a curated record. NCBI's taxonomy places the organism in Eukaryota, Metazoa, Chordata, Mammalia, Carnivora, Mustelidae. The transcript has 2 exons.
CAGCAUUUUCCACCCUCUCAGCUCCUCCCACGGAUUCCCAGAGGUCCUGAGGACGUAGUGACCCCAGAAGUCACUGGAGCGCCCUGAAUGCUGACGUCAGCUCCGCCUCUCGCUCUAAUCAGAGAAAGAACGUGACGGGCCGGCUUUAACUCCUGUCCAGGUGUGGAGAUUUAAGGAGUCCCCUCCUCGCAGGAGGGGGGAUUAGCCGGCCCCGGGGACACCUCUUAGGUGGUGCCUCCCACCCAGCCAGAAGCCAAGGGUUUCAGCCAUCUUUCCCGGUUCCUUCCAACCCUCCUUCUGUCAUCUGGUGUGAAUCCCCUGCAGUCUGGGUGGUUCCUGGUUCCUAGGGAUUUGUAUCGUCCUUCUCUUUCUCCCCUGCUCUCCAAUCCAGAACGGAGCCAGACUGGGAAAUCCUGGAGCAUUUCCUUGCUUGACCAAAGGUAGAGAUGCUCUGGAGGGGACUAGUCUGGGUUCAAAAACCAGGUAAACAUUCUGGUUCCACAGGUGUGGAAUUUCACACUUUGACCUUUUCUGACUGGCUGGUGGAGGGGGGCAUGAGCCUUCAUUAGUACCCUAAAUGCUGGAAACACUGCUUAGUAGCAGAAAAGGAGGUGGGGGGGGGGCGUUACCUUGCCACCAAGGGAGCCCACUCUUACCUGCUCAAAAUGACUCCCCAGCUGUCCCUUAAAUUUCAUCUCUUUAGCUCAGCAUUUUAAUCCCUGUCACAGUAAUAAUUUUCCAGGGCAUGGAAAUCAUCCCAUUUGAUGAGAACUGACUUGGGAAGGGAGGAGGGAGAGGUGGGAAGGAGCAAGGAGACAGGAAGGGAAGUCAGCAAGAACCAGGAGGGAGGGUUCAGAAUCCGGAAGCCCUGGGUUAAUGCUCAGGCUAAAAGCUUUGUCAGGGGCCUGUCCUGGCUAAUGGGCAGUGGUGAGAAAUUCUAAUAGGUUCUUUUGUCAGUUGCUUUGUGCAAAUACACCCAAUCAUUCAUUAAUAAAAUUUAUGUGUUCUCUGA